Molecule: small nuclear RNA, 103 nt
Organism: Ursus americanus (American black bear)
Lineage: Eukaryota; Metazoa; Chordata; Mammalia; Carnivora; Ursidae
Source: Ensembl
AUGUUAUUUCAACAGCCUCUAUAUUAAAAUUGGAACCAUGCAGAAGUUUAGCAUGGCCUCUGCCCAAGCACGACAGCACAAAAGUGAAGUGCUUCCUGUAUUU